AGUACGACGGAGCACGUGAAAUUCCGUCGGAAUCUGGGAGGACCAUCUCCUAAGGCUAAAUACUCUCUAGUGACCGAUAGUGAACCAGUACCGUGAGGGAAAGGUGAAAAGCACCCCGGAAGGGGAGUGAAAUAGAACCUGAAACCGUGUGCUUACAAGUAGUCAGAGCCCGUUAAUGGGUGAUGGCGUGCCUUUUGUAGAAUGAACCGGCGAGUUACGAUUUGAUGCAAGGUUAAGCAGUAAAUGUGGAGCCGUAGCGAAAGCGAGUCUGAAUAGGGCGUUUAGUAUUUGGUCGUAGACCCGAAACCAGGUGAUCUACCCUUGGUCAGGUUGAAGUUCAGGUAACACUGAAUGGAGGACCGAACCGACUUACGUUGAAAAGUGAGCGGAUGAACUGAGGGUAGCGGAGAAAUUCCAAUCGAACCUGGAGAUAGCUGGUUCUCUCCGAAAUAGCUUUAGGGCUAGCCUCAAGUGAUGAUUAUUGGAGGUAGAGCACUGUUUGGACGAGGGGCCCCUCUCGGGUUACCGAAUUCAGACAAACUCCGAAUGCCAAUUAAUUUAACUUGGGAGUCAGAACAUGGGUGAUAAGGUCCGUGUUCGAAAGGGAAACAGCCCAGACCACCAGCUAAGGUCCCAAAAUAUAUGUUAAGUGGAAAAGGAUGUGGCGUUGCCCAGACAACUAGGAUGUUGGCUUAGAAGCAGCCAUCAUUUAAAGAGUGCGUAAUAGCUCACUAGUCGAGUGACACUGCGCCGAAAAUGUACCGGGGCUAAACAUAUUACCGAAGCUGUGGAUUGUCCUUUGGACAAUGGUAGGAGAGCGUUCUAAGGGCGUUGAAGCAUGAUCGUAAGGACAUGUGGAGCGCUUAGAAGUGAGAAUGCCGGUGUGAGUAGCGAAAGACGGGUGAGAAUCCCGUCCACCGAUUGACUAAGGUUUCCAGAGGAAGGCUCGUCCGCUCUGGGUUAGUCGGGUCCUAAGCUGAGGCCGACAGGCGUAGGCGAUGGAUAACAGGUUGAUAUUCCUGUACCACCUAUAAUCGUUUUAAUCGAUGGGGGGACGCAGUAGGAUAGGCGAAGCGUGCGAUUGGAUUGCACGUCUAAGCAGUAAGGCUGAGUAUUAGGCAAAUCCGGUACUCGUUAAGGCUGAGCUGUGAUGGGGAGAAGACAUUGAGUCUUCGAGUCGUUGAUUUCACACUGCCGAGAAAAGCCUCUAGAUAGAAAAUAGGUGCCCGUACCGCAAACCGACACAGGUAGUCAAGAUGAGAAUUCUAAGGUGAGCGAGCGAACUCUCGUUAAGGAACUCGGCAAAAUGACCCCGUAACUUCGGGAGAAGGGGUGCUCUUUAGGGUUAACGCCCAGAAGAGCCGCAGUGAAUAGGCCCAAGCGACUGUUUAUCAAAAACACAGGUCUCUGCUAAACCGUAAGGUGAUGUAUAGGGGCUGACGCCUGCCCGGUGCUGGAAGGUUAAGAGGAGUGGUUAGCUUCUGCGAAGCUACGAAUCGAAGCCCCAGUAAACGGCGGCCGUAACUAUAACGGUCCUAAGGUAGCGAAAUUCCUUGUCGGGUAAGUUCCGACCCGCACGAAAGGCGUAACGAUUUGGGCACUGUCUCAACGAGAGACUCGGUGAAAUCAUAGUACCUGUGAAGAUGCAGGUUACCCGCGACAGGACGGAAAGACCCCGUGGAGCUUUACUGUAGCCUGAUAUUGAAAUUCGGCACAGCUUGUACAGGAUAGGUAGGAGCCUUUGAAACGUGAGCGCUAGCUUACGUGGAGGCGCUGGUGGGAUACUACCCUAGCUGUGUUGGCUUUCUAACCCGCACCACUUAUCGUGGUGGGAGACAGUGUCAAGCGGGCAGUUUGACUGGGGCGGUCGCCUCCUAAAAGGUAACGGAGGCGCUCAAAGGUUCCCUCAGAAUGGUUGGAAAUCAUUCAUAGAGUGUAAAGGCAUAAGGGAGCUUGACUGCGAGACCUACAAGUCGAGCAGGGUCGAAAGACGGACUUAGUGAUCCGGUGGUUCCGCAUGGAAGGGCCAUCGCUCAACGGAUAAAAGCUACCCCGGGGAUAACAGGCUUAUCUCCCCCAAGAGUUCACAUCGACGGGGAGGUUUGGCACCUCGAUGUCGGCUCAUCGCAUCCUGGGGCUGUAGUCGGUCCCAAGGGUUGGGCUGUUCGCCCAUUAAAGCGGUACGCGAGCUGGGUUCAGAACGUCGUGAGACAGUUCGGUCCCUAUCCGUCGUGGGCGUAGGAAAUUUGAGAGGAGCUGUCCUUAGUACGAGAGGACCGGGAUGGACAUACCUCUGGUGUACCAGUUGUCGUGCCAACGGCAUAGCUGGGUAGCUAUGUGUGGACGGGAUAAGUGCUGAAAGCAUCUAAGCAUGAAGCCCCCCUCAAGAUGAGAUUUCCCAACUUCGGUUAUAAGAUCCCUCAAAGAUGAUGAGGUUAAUAGGUUCGAGGUGGAAGCAUGGUGACAUGUGGAGCUGACGAAUACUAAUCGAUCGAAGACUUAAUCAA
RNAcentral lists this ribosomal RNA (2507 nucleotides) under Staphylococcus aureus FVRH6022. RNAcentral's name for it is "bacterial LSU rRNA". It matches the Rfam family "Bacterial large subunit ribosomal RNA", at positions 411 to 2925 of the family's 2925-position model. The record is from RNAcentral. Lineage: Bacteria; Bacillati; Bacillota; Bacilli; Caryophanales; Staphylococcaceae.